Monopterus albus (swamp eel) is the source of this 1468-nucleotide long non-coding RNA. RefSeq lists it as uncharacterized. The record is from RefSeq and is a predicted model, not a curated record. The transcript is spliced from 5 exons. Lineage: Eukaryota; Metazoa; Chordata; Actinopteri; Synbranchiformes; Synbranchidae.
ACUUUAUAAAUGAACGCGUGACUUCCGUUCUCCCCUCUCUGAAUGCUGGAACCAUGCGGUAUACCUGCGUGGCCAACUUUAUUCUUGUAUCUGAGAUGCUGCAUCCCCUGUUGAACAAAUGUGGCAGAACAGCAACUGUGGGGAACAAAGGCAGAGCUGCUUACUGUGGAGCUGACAGUGGUGCUGCAGGCUGAUUAAAGGAGCAUGUGGGGCAACUGGUCUGGAGGGGGCGGCAGACGCCCGUGAGGAACUAAGCCUGACACCAGGGCUCAGUGAUUCCUGCCAUGCUGCUGUGGAAAAAUUCAUGUGUCCAUGUGGCUGCGGACAGUCACCGCUACACCCACGUUUAGCUGCAUUGCUCAGCCUGAUGAGCCUGUAGCUUCACAGCAAGAAGGCUCUGGGUUUGAGCCCCAGGCCGACCAGGGACCUUUCUGUGCGGAGUUUGCAUGUUCUCCCUGUGCCUGUGUGUUCUCUCUGGGUACUCCGGCUCCCUCCCACAGUCCAGAGACAUGCAGCUUGAUUGUCCUAAAUUUAAGUCAUUGCCCAUCCUUAACUCCUGGUAUUGGGUAACGCAUCUUAACGACGAAAAGGAGCACUUGGUUUGGUGCAAGGCAUCUGCUAAUGCGAACAUGGCAGAAUCAUUGUCACGUGAGACUGAGUUUGCACAGGGAUCUCAAUCAUGCUCACAAAAGGAUUUAUAUUGCAGCCCUAGAAGGCAUCUACAUUUGCCAUCUGCAGGAAAUGGUCAUAGUCCUACCACAAUGUAAAAUCUGUGUUGGUUCCAUCCUGAAUGUGUACAAAGGUUUCAAUAAAGUGUUGUUGAAGCACCAGUUCAGUUUGAGACAUUUACCUCCACAGAAAGGUUUUCUGUUAAAUCUGAAUCUUAAAGGGUAUGUUCAGUGUUCCAAAGUUGGUCUACAAAGUUCAUAUAAAGAACAAAACAAUUUUACUGUCUCUUGUUACUGACACCUGUACACUGGCUCUCAGCAGAGAGCCUCAUGCAGGGAUGGACUUUAUACCAUUAGGCAAGGAAGACAUUGCCUGAGGCUGCAGUAGCCACAAAUGUACCACCAUGUUUUGACACACUUGAUUCUAAAACUAAAGACAAAAGAACACAAGCUUUUUUUGUGCAUAUGUUGAUGUAUAUUCUUGUUCUGUGCCCUCUCCAGGGAUGUGCUUUGUCCCUAUAAGGUAGAACCACAAUGGUAUCUAGUUCUUCUGACUGGCCCAGUCUGAGAAUAGCUUGACUUUAAUGCAUUAAAUGUACAGGAAGUUGAUCAUGGGCCAGCUCAAACAGAUGCCACCCAUUCAAAGGAGCUUAAAUCAAAAAGACUGAACUUUGAAGUGAGAAAAUAUUCUUUUGAGAUCUGUCUUCACUGUCUAAAACUCUUCUUGUUUCUCUCCCUCUUUCUGGUAAGAAUUUGAGUACAGAAUGUGUUUUAUAAUUGCAUUAAAACUUUGUCAGAUG